This 495-nucleotide long non-coding RNA is filed under the name Homo sapiens (human). RNAcentral's name for it is "HSALNT0041901". The record is from RNAcentral. Lineage: Eukaryota; Metazoa; Chordata; Mammalia; Primates; Hominidae.
AGAGUGAAUGUUGGUUGCUGUUUCAGCAUGCAUUUCCCUUUUUUCUAUCACCUGGAACCUUAUUUCCAAUGAGAUAUUUACGUGCUUCUAGAUCUAAAGGUUGUCUUCUGGGAGGAGCCAAGAUGGCCUAAUAGGAAAAGCUCCGGUCUACAGCUCCCAGCGUGAGUGACGCAGAAGACGGGUGAUUUCUGCAUUUCCAUCUGAGGUACCGGGUUCAUCUCACUAGGCAGUGCCAGACAGUGGGCGCAGGUCAGUGGGUGCGCGCACCAUGCGCGAGCCAAAGCAGGGCGAGGCAUUGCCUCACUCGGGAAGCGCAAGGGGUCAGGGAGCUCCCUUUCCUAGUCAAAGAAAGGGGUGACAGACAGCACUGGAAAUUCGGGUCACUCUCACCCAAAUACUGCGCUUUUCCAACGGGCUUAAAAAACGGCGCACCAGGAGAUUAUAUCCCGCACAUGGCUCGGAGGGUCCUACACCCACAGAGUCUUGCUGAUUGCU